Sorex fumeus (smoky shrew) is the source of this 209-nucleotide small nucleolar RNA. RefSeq annotates it as small nucleolar RNA U3. The record is from RefSeq and is a predicted model, not a curated record. Lineage: Eukaryota; Metazoa; Chordata; Mammalia; Eulipotyphla; Soricidae. The transcript has a single exon.
CAGACUGUACUUUCAGGGAUCGUUUCUAUACUUUGUUAAUAGAGAAGCUUCUCUGAUCAUGUAGAGCACCUAAAACCCUGAGAAAGAGCCAGAGCAUUCUCUCCUGGGCAGGAAGCCUAUUCUGGGUGCUGCUCUCACAAUUGCCUUUUACCAUUCUCAUCAUUCUUCUCUUCCCUUGAAAGAGAAGGAGAGGAUGCAGGCUGAGUGGU